Long non-coding RNA from Xyrauchen texanus (razorback sucker), 434 nucleotides. RefSeq lists it as uncharacterized. NCBI's taxonomy places the organism in Eukaryota, Metazoa, Chordata, Actinopteri, Cypriniformes, Catostomidae. The record is from RefSeq and is a predicted model, not a curated record. The transcript has 3 exons.
CUCGCAUUGAAAAUUAAUGGUAUUGAGUCGCUGUCGCGCGCGAUGUCGCUGGCAGUGUGUACGCACCUUAAGAGAAUGAUGAUGACAUGAGCCUUUAUUGACGAAGCGAUACGAUGCUCACGCGACAAGCGUAUGGCUGAAGGUUUGGACAGAGGGGUUGUAAAUAUGACGGGGCCGUUGACACUUGUGGGAAAGGCGGAUCUUAUACCCAGACCGGUGACAUCUGCGUAGCGACUUCCUGCGAGUUGUGUUUUCCUCAUGGGUGGAUGGACUUGUUGAUGCCACUGAGCUGCAGGACAAACACGAGAGUGAAAAUGUCUGUUAAGUUGCUGUGAAGUGUGUGCAUUAGUUGUAUGUGCUGGAGUAAAUGACCGGCUGUGGCAUUCCCACGACUCGGCACUCUAAACGGACCGGAGCGCCCUCUGCGAUGCCCG